ACUCAGUGGCACCUUUUCCUUCUGUCUCCUCUUCCAGCCUCGGUUUCAAAGGGCGGAAGCCAAGGACAGACUCUGGAAGGCUGGAGGGCUUGGGUCUGGCUGUUGCGCCUGUGUCUUUGGGGGAAAUGUGCUGCUUAGCCUGGCCGGCUGGAGGGCAGGCAGGAAGUGUGGACGGAUGUCCUUUAUUUCAGGAUCUGAAAAUGAAAAACAGAGAAAGAGAAAAAAGCUCUGGAUAAACAUCACACCAGGACAGUUCUGAACCAACAGCGACAGUGCAGCCAUGGCUUGGCUGGUGUGGACCCGAGUUUCUCCCAGCAACUCCCCCGGGGUCUCCUGGGAGGGGCAGCAGCAGCUUCCCCUGGAAGAAGGAACGCUGGAAGGCAAGAGGACAUCACUGAAGAAAGUACAAAAGGCCAUCAGGACUAAAAGGGGGCAAGGAGAUAGAGCAGGCCUCCAGCCUGGGCCUUCUUUGCUUUCAGUCUUCCUUGUUUCUCCCAUUGUGCUCUUGGUCAGGAUAGGAAAUGGUUGGAAGGGGAAAAUUCUUGUGAAGAAAAAAAGACUGGGGGAGCUGUUUUCUUAGAAAUUUGGAGAGUGCAGGAGAGAUGCCUGAGAUAUUUCUUUUCUUUUUUUAAAGGUUUUAUUUAUUUAUUUGGGGGAGAGAGAGAGCAAGAGAAGGGUGAAGGGCAGAGGGAGAAGCAGACUCCCCACUAAGCAGGGAGCCAGACCCAGGGCUCGAUCCCAGGACGCUGGGAUCAUGACCUGAGCUGCAGGCAGACGCUUAACCGACUGAGCCACCCAGGUGCCCCUCUCUUUUCUCUUUUCUUUAUAGUGUGGGGCUGGGGCAAAGGCCUUGAGGUCCUGGUUGUUUUAAGGGACAGCCACCCCAUGGUUAUUCUCUGUUCAGGCCCACUCACUGCAGGGAAGAUCAGAUGAGAGCUUUGGCAGAGAGGUUAGACGUUCUCUCCAAAGCCAGUGUGUCUGCAGGGCAGUGUCCCAUGAGAACCUUCCCUGUGCUGCUAGGCAGCCGAGGGAGAUGCUUACAGAGCUGAGUAGAGGGAAUAUCUAAGAAACAUUUCCCUCAGCAAGACCAUUUUCCCACUGCAUUAUCCGUGGAUCUAGGGAGCUGGGCUGCCCAAAGCUGGACACACAGAAAGUGCUCAAACCUUGCCAACUGUCAUGAGACCCUGGGCCAUGAGUAAUGUCAGAUAUGGUAGGUGAUCUCAGGGUAAGCAGUUUUAUUUAAUGGCCCUCCAAAUGAAAUCCAUAUUCCUCAUCCAGUGUGAUAAGUGUCUUAACUUUGGGGACAUGUCUCACUGACCAGGGCUGAUUUACUUACACUCAGGCAAUCAACUCUUAGAGGCAGGAAUGGAGAAACGUAGACGUCUGUUUUAAGAAGCAAGUUUCUGAGUUUUUGUUUGUUGCAGUUUUCCUAGCAUGGCAGAUUUCAUGUUCGAAGCUGAAAGUUUCUGAUCUCCAAUGAGGGGCGUCCGUGCUCAGGAUGAUUUUCCAAUGAAGGGGAGUGGACGUGCACACAUUUGCCCUCUUCGGUCUCUGCAUAAGCGUCUGCACUGCUCAGGCAGUCAGCCCCGCCCACAGGUCUUCAAUGAAUAAUAAACUAACUGUACUGUUCUCAGAUCAAAGCAGC
Molecule: long non-coding RNA, 1645 nt
Filed under: Ailuropoda melanoleuca (giant panda)
Lineage: Eukaryota; Metazoa; Chordata; Mammalia; Carnivora; Ursidae
Description: lncRNA (ENSAMEG00000028029.1)
Source: RNAcentral